AUGGCUCAGAUUGAACGCUGGCGGAAUGCUUUACACAUGCAAGUCGAACGGCAGCACGGACUUCGGUCUGGUGGCGAGUGGCGAACGGGUGAGUAACAUAUCGGAACGUAUCCAAUAAUGGGGGAUAACUAAUCGAAAGGUUGGCUAAUACCGCAUACGCCCUGAGGGGGAAAGCUAGGGAUCUUCGGACCUGGCGUUAAUGGAGCGGCCGAUAUCUGAUUAGCUAGUUGGUGAGGUAAAGGCUCACCAAGGCGACGAUCAGUAGCUGGUCUGAGAGGACGACCAGCCACACUGGAACUGAGACACGGUCCAGACUCCUACGGGAGGCAGCAGUGGGGAAUUUUGGACAAUGGGCGCAAGCCUGAUCCAGCCAUUCCGCGUGAGUGAAGAAGGCCUUCGGGUUGUAAAGCUCUUUCGCAAGGGAAGAAAACUUAUCCUCUAACAUAGGAUGAGGUUGACGGUACCUUGAUAAGAAGCACCGGCUAACUACGUGCCAGCAGCCGCGGUAAUACGUAGGGUGCGAGCGUUAAUCGGAAUUACUGGGCGUAAAGCGUGCGCAG
RNAcentral lists this ribosomal RNA (560 nucleotides) under uncultured beta proteobacterium. Its description in RNAcentral is "bacterial SSU rRNA". It matches the Rfam family "Bacterial small subunit ribosomal RNA", at positions 19 to 574 of the family's 1533-position model. Lineage: Bacteria; Pseudomonadati; Pseudomonadota; Betaproteobacteria. The record is from RNAcentral.